Long non-coding RNA from Triticum aestivum (bread wheat), 938 nucleotides. RefSeq lists it as uncharacterized. The transcript is spliced from 2 exons. The record is from RefSeq and is a predicted model, not a curated record. NCBI's taxonomy places the organism in Eukaryota, Viridiplantae, Streptophyta, Magnoliopsida, Poales, Poaceae.
UCGCUAGCUACGCGAGCAGGCGGGUCCACGCGGGCCACGCGUCCUUGACCUAUCGAGCCGAGCCGAGCCACAUCGCUUCGCUACUUUAUCCUCUUUCCUUAUCCCCACCGCUUCCAGUGCCUUCUCCCUCCUCCCAAAAAUGCAUUCACCUCAAAGCAUCCAACGCCAUGGCCAUGGCCGAGCUGCCAUGCUUUAUUUCCAGCUCGAGGCGCCACACCUAGCAACAAAUUAGGGGCCACAGAGCUUCAAUCGGCGAUUGGCGGAGCUGCAACCAUCUAUUUGGUCGAGCUGCAUCCAUCGACGCCGGGCGGCGGCGACUGCAACGCGGAGCAUAAGAGCUGCAUACAGCGGCGAGGGCGGCUGCAAUCAGCUGCGCCCCUCGACAACGGAGUUGCAACCGGCUUUUGGUGGAGCUACAAGGUUGGACGUUGAGAUGCGAUUAUUUUUGCUGGAACCGGAGGUGUUUUUUUUUUACUGGAAACAGGUGGUGCAGGUCAACGACGGUGGCGAGCCGAAGAUGGCGUCGCCGUGCUAUGAUGGGCUGCGUAAUUUGAUGGACCGACUUUUGUUCAGAGUUGCAUCUGGCAAGACGCGGUGUUGGAACGACGACGAGAUGAGGAGGGCGCACAACGACUUCUACUUCAAGUUGCGAAGAGAAGCGGGGAGCUGCAGUCGACGAUGAUGGCGGUGGCCGUGGAGGGGCCGCCGGAGACGCGGGACUCCGGCGGCUGCGCGGGCGGGGACAGCGAGGCAAUGGAUUUCGGCGAUCUGGGCUGCAUCCUCUCCUUUUUUUCUUUUUUUUCUCCCAUGUGUGUUCAGAUGCGAGAUGCGGGGGGCAAAGAGCUUUCGAUCUGACGGUUGGCAGUAAGCGAAGCGGACGCACAGGAUGCGACCGGCCCAAAUUUUCGGCCAGUGCGCCAGAUCAUAUUAUCACUGGC